AAUAGGAUUACUGAGUCAUAUAGUGUUUAAUUUUACAAGAAACUGCCAAAUUGAUUUUCAGAAUAACUUCACAAUUUUGCAUUCCCAAUAGUAAU
RNAcentral lists this microRNA precursor (95 nucleotides) under Marmota monax (woodchuck). Lineage: Eukaryota; Metazoa; Chordata; Mammalia; Rodentia; Sciuridae. The record is from RNAcentral.